RNAcentral lists this ribosomal RNA (255 nucleotides) under uncultured bacterium. Its description in RNAcentral is "partial 16S ribosomal RNA". It matches the Rfam family "Bacterial small subunit ribosomal RNA", at positions 524 to 776 of the family's 1533-position model. The record is from RNAcentral.
UACGAAGGGGGCUAGCGUUGUUCGGAAUUACUGGGCGUAAAGCGCGCGCAGGCGGCUAUCCAAGUCAGUGGUGAAAGCCCGGAGCUCAACUCCGGAACUGCCAUUGAAACUGUUUAGCUUGAGGAUGAGAGAGGUGAGUGGAAUUCCCAGUGUAGCGGUGAAAUGCGUAGAUAUAGGGAAGAACACCAAUCAGGCGAAGGCAGUUAACUAUUCUAUUCCUGACAUUGAGGCAUGAAAGCGUGGGGAGCAAAACGG